Molecule: long non-coding RNA, 1734 nt
Organism: Numida meleagris (helmeted guineafowl)
Lineage: Eukaryota; Metazoa; Chordata; Aves; Galliformes; Numididae
Exons: 2
Source: RefSeq, a predicted model, not a curated record
AUACUGCUAGGAGAAGGUGUGAGUAGUUGUGCUGGAGUGAAAUGCUGGUGUGGAAAAGAAGAAUGUAAUGAAGCUUACUUCAAAUAUCCUGAGGAGCGUGAGGAGGGCGAGCCUCAGCCAUCCCUUCUGUGGAGCUCAGCCUGCCUGCAGCCCCUGCUUUGACUGAUGUCUGCAGAGUCCACUGAAGGUGCCAGCACACAGCCCCAACCACAGAGGAGUGAGGUCACCCUGCAGGACCCCAGUUCCCCCUUCUGAAGGCUGCGUUCACUUAUGAAGUUCCUCAUCUCUGCUUGGUUCCAGUGCCUCUCCUCUGAGGCUCCGUGCCCUAUGGUCCCCACAUCCCUCCCGCUUCCUUCUGCUGUGGCCAUUGCUGAGGGUCAACUCAUCCUUCAUGGGAAGUGUUGUGUGCCAUCCCCUCUGUGCUUGUGGCUUCUUGAGGGGGGAAGAGACAGCUAACAGGACAGGAAUCGUGCGUGUGAGCGUGGGGAUGAUUUCUUCCUCCCACUUGGAGGAUGAGGGUUUUCUUUGGGACUCUCACUGCUUUGGGGAGAUAAGGCUGAAGUGCCUUGUGGAGGCUGGGGAGGAACUGAGGACCUGCACUAAUGCUUCUAGGAUUAGGAACAGAUUAAAUGAUGGAGUCAAGGGCAUAGAUGGGGGGGACAGUUUUCCACGUAGCCUGCUCAGAGCCUCUGAAGGAAGCUGGCACGGACAGUUUCAGUCUUUCAUCUCCCUGCUUGGUUGGUUGCCUUUACUUCAGAAGUUACAGCACGGAGUUACUGUAACGUGUUUGCUACAGAGGACCUGCAAGUUCAGAGAGCUGGAUUCCUUCUUUGUCCACCGCCCCUCCACUAUUGUGCAGCUGCUCUUGGCACACCUCUGUAUCUGAGCUGCUGCGUGGUACCAGUGGUGAACUCUGAUGGCCUUCUGUGGACAAAAUCAUGCUUUGCUUUAAGCAAAUGGAAAAGAUGGGAACACUGCCGCUUAUUAGGAGUUUUUCCCCUUAAAGAAUGUAUUUUAACUGUCGAGAUGCAGUGUUCAUUACUGCGGGCAAAAUGAAAUCUGCGCACAUUGAAUUGCCUCUGGCUAGCAGAUACAUUUCUAGGGUACACAAUGUUUUAAGCAGGUAGCACAGAACAAGUCUGCAGGCCAAUCUGUUUGUCACUAAUCAAGUAUUCACAGAAUGCUGCCAGCAAAAUAAUUCUAACAGAGAAGUCACCUGCCAGUCACCGAGAAGCAUGCAGGCAAAUUUUAAAAAGUGAUCCCUGCAGCGAGAUAUUUGUCAUGCAAGUACAAAUAAACUCAGACUGAGCUCGCAGGAAAGAUCUCCGCGCUGAGAAGUCCAUCAGUUGAGGGUGUUUCUUAACAAGGUGAUGGAUUCGAUGUCUGAGAAUCUGGCUUGUAAAGAAUUUGAGUUUCAGAUGGCCCCAAAUCUGAGUUUGGUCAAGGUAAGCGUUUAGUUUCAUUUUGCCGUCUGCAGUGUGGGCUUGGUGAGAAACGCUCCUUUUCUGUACAGAGCUGUAAGAUUUUUGCAGAGGUGUUAACAAAUACUCCUGAGUUGGAGGGCCCAGCCGUCAAUAAUGGCUUCUUUCACACCUCCCAAGGGCUUCCUUUGAAAUCUGUGGCACAAUACCGAACAACAGAGGCCAAUCUUGCUGUAGUGUGUGGUCCCUUCAAAAGUGCAAGUCUUCCUCCAUUGUUACGGGCCUAUUUUUAGCUGUGUUAGCACCGCUCUGU